AAAGAGUUAGUUAAAUGAAUAAUACAAAUUUGUCAAAUUUGAGUUACUGUGAAGUACUUUUUA
Molecule: transfer RNA, 63 nt
Filed under: Georissa bangueyensis
Lineage: Eukaryota; Metazoa; Mollusca; Gastropoda; Cycloneritida; Hydrocenidae
Description: tRNA-Asp
Source: RNAcentral